This 565-nucleotide ribosomal RNA is filed under the name Eremotylus sp. Msp284. Its description in RNAcentral is "partial large subunit ribosomal RNA". It matches the Rfam family "Eukaryotic large subunit ribosomal RNA", at positions 644 to 1162 of the family's 3401-position model. The record is from RNAcentral. Lineage: Eukaryota; Metazoa; Arthropoda; Insecta; Hymenoptera; Ichneumonidae.
UUGACCCGUCCUGAAGCACGGACCAAGGAGUUCAGCGUGUACGCGAGUCAUUGGGUGAAAAAACCCAAAGGCGUAAUGAAAGUGAAGGGAACUUUACGUUUCUGAGGGAGGAUGAGUCGGUUACCCGCAAGGGGCUGCUCCGCACUCCCGGGGCGUCUCUUUCUCAUUGCGAGUGGAGGCGCACCCAGAGCGUACACGCUGAUACCCGAAAGAUGGUGAACUAUGCCUGGCCAGGACGAAGCCAGGGGAAACCCUGGUGGAGGUCCGCAGCGAUUCUGACGUGCAAAUCGAUCGUCGGAGCUGGGUAUAGGGGCGAAAGACCAAUCGAACCAUCUAGUAGCUGGUUCCCUCCGAAGUUUCCCUCAGGAUAGCUUGCGCUCACGUGAAAGAGUCUCAUCCGGUAGAGCGAAUGAUUAGAGGCCUUGGGGUCGAAACGACCUCAACCUAUUCUCAAACUCCAAAUAGAUGAGAACUCCGGGCUUUCUUGAACUUUGUUUUUGAAGCCGGGGGCUCGGAUCAGAGUGCCAAGUGGGCCAAUUUUGGUAAGCAGAAGUGCCGCUGUGGG